AUUGUACCCUGUACUCUUCCCUCCUCCUCCAUAUGCUGCAUACUGUAGUGAAGAACAAUGUCUGCUGUAUUCCACGUUGCAUCCCCACACCCUGCACAGUGCCUGCCAUGUACAUUCAAGUGGAGAGGUCCCAGCAGGAAGAUUUCAGAGUCAUCAGCCUGCAGGUGAUGGUUAAAACCAGAGAGGAGAAGAUUGCCCAGGGAGAGGAGGAGGUGGCAAAACAAUGGAGAUGUCAACUGUAACAGAAGUCCUGGAAGAACUCGUACAAUUGUUUUUGCAAGCUGAACUAUCUGCUUUUUUGUGGAACAUCAUUUUCAUAUAAAGGACUGACAGACUAUGCUUCUUCAUACUUGGAUAUCUGUGGAUGUUUGCCAGGAAAAUGACUGAAGUGAGCGUGUCACCUCAAGGAAAACAACUAUGUAUUGCCAGGUACAGCAGUACACACCUUUAAUCCCAGAGAUUCUGGAGGCUGAGGCAGGAGGAUCACAAAUUUGAGGCCAGCUAAGGCAAUUUGGAAUAACCCUGUCUCCAAAUAAACAGAGGCUGGGAAUUCAGUGCAGUGGUACUGGUAGAACAUGUCCAGGUUCAAUUCCCAGUACCAAAAAGAAAUACAAUAGAGAAAAGACAAUUUCAUCAAUAAAUGGCACUGGAAAACUGAAUAUACAUAAGCAAAGAAUGAAAUUAGACCUUCACCUCAUACCAAAAGUGAACUCAAAAUGGUUUAAGACAAAUGUAAGACCUGAAACUGCAAAACAACUACAAGUAAACAAAAAGGAAAAAGCCGAGCUGGGGAGACAGCUCAGUUG
Long non-coding RNA from Sciurus carolinensis (gray squirrel), 806 nucleotides. RefSeq lists it as uncharacterized. The transcript is spliced from 3 exons. The record is from RefSeq and is a predicted model, not a curated record. Lineage: Eukaryota; Metazoa; Chordata; Mammalia; Rodentia; Sciuridae.